UACCAGCACCCCGAGUGGUCGGGACGAUUAUUGGGCCUAAAGCAUCCGUAGCCGGUUUUACAAGUCCUCCGUUAAAUCCAACUGCUUAACGGAUGGGCUGCGGAGGAUACCGCAGAGCUAGGAGGCGGGAGAGGCAAACGGUACUCAGUGGGUAGGGGUAAAAUCCAUUGAUCUACUGAAGACCACCAGUGGCGAAGGCGGUUUGCCAGAACGCGCUCGACGGUGAGGGAUGAAAGCUGGGGGAGCAAACCGG
RNAcentral lists this ribosomal RNA (253 nucleotides) under uncultured bacterium. Its description in RNAcentral is "partial 16S ribosomal RNA". It matches the Rfam family "Archaeal small subunit ribosomal RNA", at positions 474 to 727 of the family's 1478-position model. The record is from RNAcentral.